GGGGAUUUAGCUCAGUGGUAGAGUACUUGCCUAGCAAGUGCAAGGCCCUGGGUUCGGUCCCCAGCUCCA
Molecule: transfer RNA, 69 nt
Filed under: Rattus norvegicus (Norway rat)
Lineage: Eukaryota; Metazoa; Chordata; Mammalia; Rodentia; Muridae
Rfam family: tRNA
About the family: Transfer RNA (tRNA) molecules are approximately 80 nucleotides in length. Their secondary structure includes four short double-helical elements and three loops (D, anti-codon, and T loops).
Source: Rfam by way of RNAcentral